Molecule: long non-coding RNA, 1094 nt
Organism: Anopheles gambiae (African malaria mosquito)
Lineage: Eukaryota; Metazoa; Arthropoda; Insecta; Diptera; Culicidae
Exons: 2
Source: RefSeq, a predicted model, not a curated record
ACAAAAUCCAAUGUAUCUCCAUGAAGUCAAUCAAUCAAUCAUCAUUACACUGGACAGUGACGACAUUGAAGCGAAUCUGUAUCACCGAUAACAACGGGUCGUUUGAUCCAAGCCAACGAUCUGGUACUAGAAAGAUAACCAGGAUUUCUACUAUCUUACGAGGAGGGAUGGUGGGAAGCGGAAAAAUGUCAUGUUUAAUUAAAAAUAAAACCCUUAGCGCGCAGAAGACGAGCGCUGAGUGUUGUGGUGAGUGUAAUCGCCUUUGGCAAUGCGAAAAGCUGCGAUUUGAUAUCAGUCCCAAUUACGUGGCUGAGGCGCGUAACACUAACACACAACGCCGAUAGUCUCGAUUGUUGUCUCAAGUGCUACGCUCCCGCUGAUAGGUUAUCAUCGUUCAUCGUCUUCGUAGUUUGGAACGACCGUGUCCAACCGUGGAAGUGCCGUCUCGCAGUGUCCGGGCAGCGUGUCAACAGUUUACACAAGCCAGCCCAAUCAUGGCUUUUGGAGACGGCGAUUCCGUGUCAUCGAGCAAACUCCUUGCUGUGGUAGAGCCCUCCGACCAGGACAUUGCUAUCCAGCACGUGCCAUCGGCUGGCUCAUCGGUGGGAAUCGAUUUCCUGCUGCUUGUUUGCUUCCUGGUGAUGAUCUUGCUGGUCGGGUUCGUGUUGCGACUGUUUCUUCAAAUGUGGCGUGCCCGCAUCGAGUGCCAAUGGACGGAGGAUGCGGCCGUAGUACGGCGAUUAGUUUAGCGAGAUAGUGCAAAUUGCUGAACGCAUCGAGCGCUGCCGGAAGGGAGCGAGUGGCGGGAACAGGGCCGAAAGUGGGAAGUUGAUCUGUGAUAUUUGGUGCACUUGCGUCAUGGGCGAUCAUAAACCUGUGUGGUGUGAUUUUAUUGAAGGGUGAGACAUUAUUUUACUGCUCCGUUUAUUUCACUGCAGCCACGUAUGACGACACACACGCACACACUGUACUGUGAUAGAUGAUGUAGGGGGUUUGAAAGUAACGAUGGAUUGGAGUGUUCGAACCAGAAAACCAGCUGAUGGUGAUACGAGGAGAACUGAAAUUAAUAAAACGUCAGUAAAGUUGCUAACAAA